This 253-nucleotide ribosomal RNA is filed under the name uncultured bacterium. RNAcentral's name for it is "partial 16S ribosomal RNA". It matches the Rfam family "Bacterial small subunit ribosomal RNA", at positions 524 to 776 of the family's 1533-position model. The record is from RNAcentral.
UACGUAGGGUGCAAGCGUUGUCCGGAAUUAUUGGGCGUAAAGAGCUCGUAGGCGGCUUGUCACGUCGGCUGUGAAAACCCGGGGCUCAACCCCGGGCCUGCAGUCGAUACGGGCAAGCUAGAGUUCGGCAGGGGAGACUGGAAUUCCUGGUGUAGCGGUGAAAUGCGCAGAUAUCAGGAGGAACACCGGUGGCGAAGGCGGGUCUCUGGGCCAAUACUGACGCUGAGGAGCGAAAGCGUGGGGAGCGAACAGG